AGUGAACGCUGGCGGUAGGCCUAACACAUGCAAGUCGAACGGCAGCACAGUAAGAGCUUGCUCUUACGGGUGGCGAGUGGCGGACGGGUGAGGAAUACAUCGGAAUCUACUUUUUCGUGGGGGAUAACGUAGGGAAACUUACGCUAAUACCGCAUAUGAUCUACGGGUGAAAGCAGUGGAUCUUCGGACCUUGCGCGAUUGAAUGAGCCGAUGUCGGAUUAGCUAGUUGGCGGGGUAAAGGCCCACCAAGGCGACGAUCCGUAGCUGGUCUGAGAGGAUGAUCAGCCACACUGGAACUGAGACACGGUCCAGACUCCUACGGGAGGCAGCAGUGGGGAAUAUUGGACAAUGGGCGCAAGCCUGAUCCAGCCAUACCGCGUGGGUGAAGAAGGCCUUCGGGUUGUAAAGCCCUUUUGUUGGGAAAGAAAAGCAGCAGGUUAAUACCCCGCUGUUCUGACGGUACCCAAAGAAUAAGCACCGGCUAACUUCGUG
Molecule: ribosomal RNA, 492 nt
Filed under: uncultured bacterium
Lineage: Bacteria
Description: partial 16S ribosomal RNA
Rfam family: Bacterial small subunit ribosomal RNA
Source: RNAcentral